UGUGUGACGCGAUCUACGAUAGCAGAACAAACAUGCAGUCUGCAGAAUGUUUCAAACCUAUCGGGUCGGGAAUGCGGUGAAUAUGCGGCCCGAAUUUGAGUUCUGCGGUCGCAGAAUGCACCGCAGAACUGACCUUCGAAUUUCCUCAGGGACAAUAUGCGAUCACUAUGCGGUCCGCAUAUUGAUUAUGUGAUCGCAUAUUUGACCGCAUUUUCAUCACCAAAAAUUCGUUGCUCUCUAAUUCACUCUACGGUAGGAAUGCGGUCCGCGUGGAUGAUCUACGACCGCAUUCUUGACCGCAUUUUGACCAUUUUCUAGAAAAAUUCCAGUUUUACAUUUUUAAGUUCAAAACAGUAAAAAGGAUCCGAUCCAUGUAGGUAGACUCGACUCUAUGAGUUGCUAACAUCUGAGCACUCAUUUUCACGGGGCCUUACAUAAAUUUCCCACCACAUCUUGUUCAGACUGAUGCAGCAUUUAGGGAGCACUUUUCACCAUUUUAUUUUUUUAUGUUUAGUUUCAUUGGGG
Molecule: long non-coding RNA, 525 nt
Filed under: Nicotiana benthamiana
Lineage: Eukaryota; Viridiplantae; Streptophyta; Magnoliopsida; Solanales; Solanaceae
Description: long non-coding RNA (NBEN_LNC030609)
Source: RNAcentral